RNAcentral lists this long non-coding RNA (630 nucleotides) under Olea europaea (common olive). RNAcentral describes it as "long non-coding RNA (OEUR_LNC012720)". The record is from RNAcentral. Lineage: Eukaryota; Viridiplantae; Streptophyta; Magnoliopsida; Lamiales; Oleaceae.
AAUGUAAAUAGUUAACUUUUGGGUAUGCCUCUUCCAAAUUCUAUGACACAAUUUAACCAAAAUGCAUUAACAGAAUCGUGCUAUCAAAACCCCCCACAUUAUUCCCCAAAUUAAAACCCUAAAAUUCAAUCAAAAUGCCCCCAUAAAAAUUUUAGGGUUUCUACAAACUUGUAUAAACCACCAAAUUCUAGGGUUUCCGAAGCUACAAACGACAAAUGAAAGCUGAACUGUGACUAUGUACGAGUAAAUUACAAGCUAGGGCUAAAAUUGGGGAUCGUCAGAAAUUAUACCCUGUUCUAGGGUUUUGCUUUUGAUGCACAACGUACCUCAAUUCAAAGCACGAGAAUAUUUCUGUACACACCCGUCCAACCAUUCACCUUUCCACGUAUAAAUAUAUAUACCUUUUUCGUAUAUGUAAAUGGAGUUUCAGGUUUUGUUCGUUCUUCGUUCUCGUGGGACUCUCUCUCUAAAAUUGUACAUAAUUAUUUUUCAGUCAUAAAUUUCUGUAAAUACUAUUCGGGCGCCCGCAACUGGGCUCGAGACGCAGACGAUGAUUGGAGAGGGCCUCCCGUGAAAUUGGACCUUUUGGGCAUUUAUUUUGGAGGAAAUUACACCCACGCUACUUUUAAA